This 369-nucleotide ribosomal RNA is filed under the name uncultured bacterium. RNAcentral's name for it is "bacterial SSU rRNA". It matches the Rfam family "Bacterial small subunit ribosomal RNA", at positions 527 to 896 of the family's 1533-position model. The record is from RNAcentral.
GAAGGGGGCUAGCGUUGUUCGGAAUUACUGGGCGUAAAGCGCGCGCAGGCGGCUAUCCAAGUCAGUGGUGAAAGCCCGGAGCUCAACUCCGGAACUACCUUUGAAACUGUUUAGCUUGAGGACGAGAGAGGUGAGUGGAAUUCCCAGUGUAGAGGUGAAAUUCGUAGAUAUUGGGAAGAACACCGGUGGCGAAGGCGGCUCACUGGUUCGUAUCUGACGCUCAGGCGCGACAGCGUGGGGAUCAAACAGGAUUAGAUACCCUGGUAGUCCACGCCGUAAACGAUGAAUGCUAGCCGUUGGGCAGCUUGCUGUUCAGUGGCGCAGCUAACGCAUUAAGCAUUCCGCCUGGGGAGUACGGCCGCAAGGUUG